AGGUUAAGUGAAUAAGGGCGCACGGUGGAUGCCUUGGCACUAGGAGCCGAUGAAGGACGGGACUAACACCGAUAUGCUUUGGGGAGCUGUAAGUAAGCUAUGAUCCAGAG
Molecule: ribosomal RNA, 110 nt
Filed under: Listeria monocytogenes
Lineage: Bacteria; Bacillati; Bacillota; Bacilli; Caryophanales; Listeriaceae
Description: partial 23S ribosomal RNA
Rfam family: Bacterial large subunit ribosomal RNA
Source: RNAcentral